This 90-nucleotide transfer RNA is filed under the name Echria macrotheca. RNAcentral's name for it is "tRNA-Pro". It matches the Rfam family "tRNA". From Rfam's summary of the family: Transfer RNA (tRNA) molecules are approximately 80 nucleotides in length. Their secondary structure includes four short double-helical elements and three loops (D, anti-codon, and T loops). Further hydrogen bonds mediate the characteristic L-shaped molecular structure. tRNAs have two regions of fundamental functional importance: the anti-codon, which is responsible for specific mRNA codon recognition, and the 3' end, to which the tRNAs corresponding amino acid is attached (by aminoacyl-tRNA synthetases). tRNAs cope with the degeneracy of the genetic code in two manners: having more than one tRNA (with a specific anti-codon) for a particular amino acid; and 'wobble' base-pairing, i.e. permitting non-standard base-pairing at the 3rd anti-codon position. Lineage: Eukaryota; Fungi; Ascomycota; Sordariomycetes; Sordariales; Schizotheciaceae. The record is from RNAcentral.
GGUCUGGUGGUCUAGUGGUAUGAUUCUCGCUUAGGGUAUACCCUACAGCAUAUAUGCGAGAGGUCCCGGGUUCAAUCCCCGGCCAGACCC